This 115-nucleotide ribosomal RNA is filed under the name Danio rerio (zebrafish). Lineage: Eukaryota; Metazoa; Chordata; Actinopteri; Cypriniformes; Danionidae. The record is from RNAcentral.
AAAAAAGACCAUAUCACCAAGCAGCCCAAGACCGGUUACUCACUGAGGCUAAGCAGGGCUGAGCCUGGUCAGUGCCUGGAUAGGAGACCACUUGGGAAAACCAAGGUUGCUGUUG